GCCGUGCAAUUCGGCAUGGUCUGAUUAUUGAUUGUCUUGUUGUCUGUUUUAGUUUAGGUUAAGGAGGGUUCGGUAAAAUAUUAUUUUGUUGUUGUAUUCUUUUGAUUUAAUUUUUAUUACGAUAGUUUACUUGUACUGUAAAGGGUUGUUUGUUUAUUUUUUUGGAAGCUGGCUUGUUUUGUCGUACCUUGUGUAUCAGGGUUCAUUGAAUUUUAUUAUUUAUUUUUAUUUCCCGAUUUUAAAGGAGUUAAUGAUUUAUUUUGGUUGCUGUUUCAUUAGCAUUAAGGAUAAGUUGUUGGUAGUGAAAUGUUAUUCGUCUUUAGUGGUUUCUGGUUCUUCAAGAAAUGAAUUUAAUUCAUGCAUCUUGUUUAGAUUUUUACUGUUGUUUAUUUUUUUUUACUUGAUGUUAAGAUUAGGGGGGAUUAGCUCCUUAUUUUAUUUUUAUAAUUUUCAUUUUAAUUUGGUUUUGUGGAUUUUAUAGUGAUUUUCAAUUUGAUUAUGUUAAAAUUUUAUUUUUCUUUUUCUUUAUUUUGGUUUAUUUAUUUUGUUUAUUGGAGUGUUUCCUUUAUUUUUUAUUGGAUUGUAAUUAUUGUGGAAUUAGUAAAUUUUGUUUAGUUGUGUUGUUUUUAUCUUGCGUUUAAUUUCUUUUGAGGAAUUAGGCAAAAUUUGUGUCCGCCUGUUUAACAAAAACAUCUCUUCUUGUUAGUUUUUGAAGUAUGGCCUGCCCGCUGACUUGAGUGUUGAAGGGCCGCGGUAUUUUGACCGUGCAAAGGUAGCAUAAUCAUUAGUUCUUUAAUUGUGAUCUGGAAUGAAUGGCUUGACGAGACACGAGCUGUCUUAAAUUGGAUGUUUUAUUGAAUUUGGUUUUUGAGUUAAAAUUCUUAGAUGUUUUUAUGGGACGAGAAGACCCUAUAGAGUUUGACAUUUUGUUUACUUAUUUGUUUAUUGUUUGUUUUAGUUUUGGUAAGUGGGCUUUUUGUUUUGUUGGGGUGAUGAGAGGAAUGGGUUUAAACUCCUCUUUAUCUUGGUUAUAUUGAUUUAUAUUUAUUUGAUCCAUUUGUUUUGAUUAUAAGAUUAAAUUACCUUAGGGAUAACAGCGUUAUCCCCCUUGAGAGUUCUUAUCGGCAGGGGGGCUUGCGACCUCGAUGUUGGAUUAAGAUGAAUUUUUGGUGUAGGAGCUAAAAUUUGUAUUGGGUCUGUUCGACCUUUGAAAUCUUACAUGAUCUGAGUUCAAACCGGCGUGAGCCAGGUUGGUUUCUAUCUAUAAGUGUUUUUUUUACCUUAGUACGAGAGGACCAGGUAUUUGGAAUAAUUUUGUUGUUGUUGAAUUUUAUUAACUGUUAUGCUAUUUUGGCAGAUAAGUGCACUGGAUUUAGAAUCUAUUAA
This 1386-nucleotide ribosomal RNA is filed under the name Heterotermes cf. paradoxus AUS121. Its description in RNAcentral is "16S ribosomal RNA". The stretch from base 892 to 1267 matches the Rfam family "Bacterial large subunit ribosomal RNA", at positions 2073 to 2647 of the family's 2925-position model. Lineage: Eukaryota; Metazoa; Arthropoda; Insecta; Blattodea; Rhinotermitidae. The record is from RNAcentral.